RNAcentral lists this transfer RNA (85 nucleotides) under Felis catus (domestic cat). It matches the Rfam family "tRNA". Rfam says of the family: Transfer RNA (tRNA) molecules are approximately 80 nucleotides in length. Their secondary structure includes four short double-helical elements and three loops (D, anti-codon, and T loops). Further hydrogen bonds mediate the characteristic L-shaped molecular structure. tRNAs have two regions of fundamental functional importance: the anti-codon, which is responsible for specific mRNA codon recognition, and the 3' end, to which the tRNAs corresponding amino acid is attached (by aminoacyl-tRNA synthetases). tRNAs cope with the degeneracy of the genetic code in two manners: having more than one tRNA (with a specific anti-codon) for a particular amino acid; and 'wobble' base-pairing, i.e. permitting non-standard base-pairing at the 3rd anti-codon position. Lineage: Eukaryota; Metazoa; Chordata; Mammalia; Carnivora; Felidae. The record is from Rfam by way of RNAcentral.
GCCUGGGUGGCUCAGUCGGUUCAGCAUCUGACUUCCACUCGGGUCAUGAUCUCACGGUCUGUGAGUUCGAGCCCCGCCUCGGGCU